Molecule: ribosomal RNA, 689 nt
Filed under: uncultured Microbacteriaceae bacterium
Lineage: Bacteria; Bacillati; Actinomycetota; Actinomycetes; Micrococcales; Microbacteriaceae
Description: bacterial SSU rRNA
Rfam family: Bacterial small subunit ribosomal RNA
Source: RNAcentral
GUGGCGAACGGGUGAGUAACACGUGAGCAAUCUGCCCUUGACUCUGGGAUAACUGCGGGAAACUGUAGCUAAUACCGGAUACUUUCCUCGCUGGGCAUCCAGCGGGGAAGAAAGAAUUUCGGUCAAGGAUGAGCUCGCGGCCUAUCAGCUAGUUGGUGAGGUAAAGGCUCACCAAGGCGACGACGGGUAGCCGGCCUGAGAGGGUGACCGGCCACACUGGAACUGAGACACGGUCCAGACUCCUACGGGAGGCAGCAGUGGGGAAUAUUGCACAAUGGGCGAAAGCCUGAUGCAGCAACGCCGCGUGAGGGAUGAAGGCCUUCGGGUUGUAAACCUCUUUUAGCAGGGAAGAAGCGAAAGUGACGGUACCUGCAGAAAAAGCACCGGCUAACUACGUGCCAGCAGCCGCGGUAAUACGUAGGGUGCAAGCGUUGUCCGGAAUUAUUGGGCGUAAGGAGCUCGUAGGCGGUUUGUCACGUCUGCUGUGAAAAUCCGAGGCUCAACCUCGGACUUGCAGUGGGUACGGGCAGGCUAGAGUGCGGUAGGGGAGAAGGGAAUUCCUGGUGUAGCGGUGGAAUGCGCAGAUAUCAGGAGGAACACCAAUGGCGAAGGCACUUCUCUGGGCCGUAACUGACGCUGAGGAGCGAAAGCGUGGGGAGCGAACAGGAUUAGAUACCCUGGUAGUCCAC